GGGGACGUAGCUCAGCGGGAGAGCACCUGCUUUGCACGCAGGGGGUCGGGGGUUCGAAUCCCCUCGUCUCCACCA
RNAcentral lists this transfer RNA (75 nucleotides) under Pseudomonadota bacterium. RNAcentral's name for it is "tRNA-Ala". It matches the Rfam family "tRNA". Rfam says of the family: Transfer RNA (tRNA) molecules are approximately 80 nucleotides in length. Their secondary structure includes four short double-helical elements and three loops (D, anti-codon, and T loops). Further hydrogen bonds mediate the characteristic L-shaped molecular structure. tRNAs have two regions of fundamental functional importance: the anti-codon, which is responsible for specific mRNA codon recognition, and the 3' end, to which the tRNAs corresponding amino acid is attached (by aminoacyl-tRNA synthetases). tRNAs cope with the degeneracy of the genetic code in two manners: having more than one tRNA (with a specific anti-codon) for a particular amino acid; and 'wobble' base-pairing, i.e. permitting non-standard base-pairing at the 3rd anti-codon position. Lineage: Bacteria; Pseudomonadati; Pseudomonadota. RNAcentral also lists the same sequence under 8 other names. The record is from RNAcentral.